GCCACUGCGAUCUCUGCAACAACUCUGCAAACAAAUUUUGCAAGAUAAAUUCUGCAGGGGGCUUUCAGAAAAAAAUACUUUCGUGUUUUAUGAAAAAGUCCUUUUAUAAGAUAAUGUUUUUAUAAGAUAAUGCCGGGGAAGGUUUUCCGGUUUAUCC
RNAcentral lists this unclassified non-coding RNA (157 nucleotides) under uncultured Bartonella sp. Its description in RNAcentral is "partial 16S-23S ribosomal RNA intergenic spacer". Lineage: Bacteria; Pseudomonadati; Pseudomonadota; Alphaproteobacteria; Hyphomicrobiales; Bartonellaceae. The record is from RNAcentral.